GACGAACGCUGGCGGCGUGCUUAACACAUGCAAGUCGAACGGAAAGGCCCUGCUUUUGUGGGGUGCUCGAGUGGCGAACGGGUGAGUAACACGUGAGUAACCUGCCCUUGACUUUGGGAUAACUUCAGGAAACUGGGGCUAAUACCGGAUAGGAGCUCCUGCUGCAUGGUGGGGGUUGGAAAGUUUCGGCGGUUGGGGAUGGACUCGCGGCUUAUCAGCUUGUUGGUGGGGUAGUGGCUUACCAAGGCUUUGACGGGUAGCCGGCCUGAGAGGGUGACCGGCCACAUUGGGACUGGGAUACGGCCCAGACUCCUGCGGGAGGCAGCAGUGGGGAAUAUUGCACAAUGGGCGGAAGCCUGAUGCAGCAACGCCGCGUGCGGGAUGACGGCCUUCGGGUUGUAAACCGCUUUCGCCUGUGACGAAGCGUGAGUGACGGUAAUGGGUAAAGAAGCACCGGCUAACUACGUG
Molecule: ribosomal RNA, 468 nt
Filed under: uncultured bacterium
Lineage: Bacteria
Description: partial 16S ribosomal RNA
Rfam family: Bacterial small subunit ribosomal RNA
Source: RNAcentral